Triticum aestivum (bread wheat) is the source of this 1270-nucleotide long non-coding RNA. RefSeq lists it as uncharacterized. Lineage: Eukaryota; Viridiplantae; Streptophyta; Magnoliopsida; Poales; Poaceae. The transcript has 5 exons. The record is from RefSeq and is a predicted model, not a curated record.
AGUUACUUCCCCUACUCUCAGUUGCUCUCCUCUUCGUCUCCUCUUCCGAUCCAGAGAUAGGGUUCAUCGAGUUUUCCUCUCCUUUGUGUCCCCCCUCUCACUUUCUCGUCUGAUCUACUCUACUUUUGUGGUUAUUUAGCUGUUAGUUUUGUACCUUUUGUUGUUCUAUAUGCAGGAUUUGCUCUCGGGGAUUUCUUGGGUUAGGGAUCUUUGUGCUCCAUCUGCUUGUUCAGGCUUCUUUUCUUAUUUUAUGCGGGCAUGGUUUUCCCUAUCUGCCAUAAUCCGGAUGGACCCUGUGAGCCAGGUGAUCUAGUUCUCCACGAGUUUGACGUUGUCCUCAAUGAAAGUUGCUUUAGGCACAUGUACAUUCCCUACAAUUUUAGAGCUUUUGUAGCUUAUUACAUUGAUGAGCAGAGGGAUGCUGCUAUGAUGUUACAGUACAAGAAGGUUGAGCCUGCUCUUCUUACUUAUGAAGGAAGGUCUUACCCUCCUUUGUUUAAGCAUUGACCCAAUUUAGCAAGUUUUAUGGCAAUGCUUGGUUGAGUUAACUAUGACUAUGGUCUUCGUGCUGGAGACCGGAUAGUGUUCUCUCUGGACCAUAUGACCUUUGAUCUGAAAGUGGACACUUAUCGGGGUGCAGAAAGGUUGCUUCCUAUUCUUUGUGUUGCUUUUGAAAAUUUGUAUAAUGAUAAUUACCAGUAUGUUGGCUAUGCUGUCUUCUCUCAGCAAAUAGCGUUUAACUAUCAUGAGACCCGCUUCUUUCUUUGGUGUCUCUUUCAAGACAAUUUCCUGCGUUGCCGCCCAUUUGUGCAUCUCAUGACUGUCACCAACAUCACACCAACAUCAACCGGCAUAUCAUGAAAAUCCCCAAGACCGUUGUUUGAAGCUUGAAGAGAUUUGUUGAUGUGCCGAAUGCGUUUGUCACUCUGGUAGCUAUGGAUGAGGGUGUGCAUGUAAUCACUCCUUCGUCAUUUUCUAUUAGCAAGCAAGAUGGGGGGAUGGUGAUUUAGAACAACACUUUCAAUGAGUUCUUCUCAGCCGCUUCUCUUAUUGAAGGCAAUGUUGUUCUCAUCACAUUCAAAGAACCCAUUUACAGAUCAGUGUCCAUUGUGUUGCAACAGAUCAUCUACGUGCAAAUGCUAUUCUUCUGACCUUGAUGCAAGUGAUAGUUGUAGGGGAAUGACAGUUGGUGGUUCCGAGCUUGAUCUUUUGGGGGCAAACUAUGUUAGUUAUAUGCAAUUAUGUAUGGACUCCCUUUGGAAUUAUGUUC